This 962-nucleotide ribosomal RNA is filed under the name Dermacoccus nishinomiyaensis. RNAcentral describes it as "bacterial SSU rRNA". It matches the Rfam family "Bacterial small subunit ribosomal RNA", at positions 39 to 1008 of the family's 1533-position model. The record is from RNAcentral. Lineage: Bacteria; Bacillati; Actinomycetota; Actinomycetes; Micrococcales; Dermacoccaceae.
GCGGCGUGCUUAACACAUGCAAGUCGAACGAUGAAGCACCAGCUUGCUGGUGUGGAUUAGUGGCGAACGGGUGAGUAACACGUGAGUAACCUGCCCCUCACUCUGGGAUAAGCCUGGGAAACUGGGUCUAAUACUGGAUACGACCGAUUUCCGCAUGGAGUGUUGGUGGAAAGUUUUUGUGGUGGGGGAUGGACUCGCGGCCUAUCAGCUUGUUGGUGGGGUAAUGGCCUACCAAGCCGACGACGGGUAGCCGGCCUGAGAGGGCGACCGGCCACACUGGGACUGAGACACGGCCCAGACUCCUACGGGAGGCAGCAGUGGGGAAUAUUGCACAAUGGGCGAAAGCCUGAUGCAGCGACGCCGCGUGAGGGAUGACGGCCUUCGGGUUGUAAACCUCUUUCACCAGGGACGAAGCUAACGUGACGGUACCUGGAGAAGAAGCACCGGCUAACUACGUGCCAGCAGCCGCGGUAAUACGUAGGGUGCGAGCGUUGUCCGGAAUUAUUGGGCGUAAAGAGCUUGUAGGCGGUCUGUCGCGUCUGCUGUGAAAGACCGGGGCUUAACUCCGGUUCUGCAGUGGGUACGGGCAGACUAGAGUGUGGUAGGGGAGACUGGAAUUCCUGGUGUAGCGGUGAAAUGCGCAGAUAUCAGGAGGAACACCGAUGGCGAAGGCAGGUCUCUGGGCCAUUACUGACGCUGAGAAGCGAAAGCAUGGGGAGCGAACAGGAUUAGAUACCCUGGUAGUCCAUGCCGUAAACGUUGGGCGCUAGGUGUGGGACUCAUUCCACGAGUUCCGUGCCGCAGCUAACGCAUUAAGCGCCCCGCCUGGGGAGUACGGCCGCAAGGCUAAAACUCAAAGGAAUUGACGGGGGCCCGCACAAGCGGCGGAGCAUGCGGAUUAAUUCGAUGCAACGCGAAGAACCUUACCAAGGCUUGACAUACACCGGAAUCAUGCAGAGAUG